Molecule: ribosomal RNA, 502 nt
Filed under: uncultured bacterium
Lineage: Bacteria
Description: bacterial SSU rRNA
Rfam family: Bacterial small subunit ribosomal RNA
Source: RNAcentral
UUUGAUCAUGGCUCAAAUUGAACGCUGGCGGCAGGCUUAACACAUGCAAGUCGAGCGGGGAUAGGGUGCUUGCACCUGAUUCCUAGCGGCGGACGGGUGAGUAAUGCUUAGGAAUCUGCCUAUUAGUGGGGGACAACGUUCCAAAAGGGACGCUAAUACCGCAUACGUCCUACGGGAGAAAGCAGGGGAUCUUCGGACCUUGCGCUAAUAGAUGAGCCUAAGUCGGAUUAGCUAGUUGGUGGGGUAAAGGCCUACCAAGGCGACAAUCUGUAGCGGGUCUGAGAGGAUGAUCCGCCACACUGGGACUGAGACACGGCCCAAACUCCUACGGGAGGCAGCAGUGGGGAAUAUUGGACAAUGGGGGGAACCCUGAUCCAGCCAUGCCGCGUGUGUGAAGAAGGCCUUUUGGUUGUAAAGCACUUUAAGCGAGGAGGAGGCUUACCUGGUUAAUACCCGGGAUAAGUGGACGUUACUCGCAAAAUAAGCACCGGCUAACUCUGUG